AAGUGGAAACCCUUCGUCGUCGUCCCCGUCCUCGUCCUCGUCCUCGUCCUCACUUCGCAUCCAAUUAAUGGCGCGGGAUCCACAUCCGAUCCCUCGCCCCUGGUUCCUCGACGUCGUCCCCCUCCUCGUCGUCGUCCUCAUCGCCGCUCACGUCCUCGCCUUGGCGUACUGGAUUUACCGAUUGGCCACCGAUCGGCAGACGCAGUCGCAGCAGCCCCAGCGGAGCAAGGCGCACUAGAGCCGCUUCCUUCGAUCCAAAUUUGUAAUCGUCGUCUGUGCAUCAUUUGCUUGCGGAAGUCAGUCCAGGGAGAAGAACAAGUGAGAAAAGGUUCGACCAACGGGGGUUAGUGAAGUUUUGUACAAGUGUGCGCUAAUUUGCUGAAUCUGUGAUGCAGUUCCUUUUGAAUAACAGAAAAGAGACAGAAUUUCUUUGCGUGGAGUCCCAUGAAGAAGGGGUGGGGCAUUUAAGUAUGCUAAGAAAUGGGUAACAGGAGUUGCUUUGUGUGGUGUAAAAUGACUUCAUAUAGAUCUCCGACCCUGCUCUACCUCCUUGGCAUUGAACCCUUUUUCUACUUCCGGGAGAUCUAAAGAUUUGUUAUUGUGAGAUUAUCGAAAUUUCCAACAGCCUCGGUUGUAAAGACUCAAAUGUUUUCUAUUGACCGCACGAAGAUGACUAUUUGCGGUUACUUUCGAGUUUUCACCAUUAACCACACAACCAUGUAUGAAAUAGCAGUUAGGACAGGAGAAAGAGAAUGGAUCUCCCUUACGCCUACAUGCAAAAUCCUGAUUAUGAUAGUGUGUUUCAUUGUUUAGCAUCCUUUCCAUUCGCAACCAAAUUUCAAAGUAUUGUUUCUGUUUUUGUCACCACUGUUUUGUCAUACAACUUCUGAUUCACAUUGUUAGGUUAUUUCGAAUUCUAUAUUUGAGAGUAUUUCUUCAUUUGUUCAUUCA
Molecule: RNA transcript, 951 nt
Organism: Ananas comosus (pineapple)
Lineage: Eukaryota; Viridiplantae; Streptophyta; Magnoliopsida; Poales; Bromeliaceae
Exons: 4
Source: RefSeq, a predicted model, not a curated record